RNAcentral lists this long non-coding RNA (212 nucleotides) under Oryza brachyantha (malo sina). Its description in RNAcentral is "long non-coding RNA (OBRA_LNC001639)". The record is from RNAcentral. Lineage: Eukaryota; Viridiplantae; Streptophyta; Magnoliopsida; Poales; Poaceae.
UACUGUUUAAUAGUUGAAAAAUAUGGACACGAAAAACGAAAAAAUCUUGGUUAGUUAAUCUCGAUAAAAAAACAUAGCGUAAGGAUUCCUUACGUUUAAUUAUUUUUAAUACAGUAUAACGCAGACGCUCACAACACACGCACACUCUCUUCUAAGAACCCAGAACCUCAAGUGCUACUAAGGCUUUUGUAACCACUGGGCUACAGGCUCUU